RNAcentral lists this transfer RNA (75 nucleotides) under Helcococcus ovis. RNAcentral's name for it is "tRNA-Gly". It matches the Rfam family "tRNA". Rfam says of the family: Transfer RNA (tRNA) molecules are approximately 80 nucleotides in length. Their secondary structure includes four short double-helical elements and three loops (D, anti-codon, and T loops). Further hydrogen bonds mediate the characteristic L-shaped molecular structure. tRNAs have two regions of fundamental functional importance: the anti-codon, which is responsible for specific mRNA codon recognition, and the 3' end, to which the tRNAs corresponding amino acid is attached (by aminoacyl-tRNA synthetases). tRNAs cope with the degeneracy of the genetic code in two manners: having more than one tRNA (with a specific anti-codon) for a particular amino acid; and 'wobble' base-pairing, i.e. permitting non-standard base-pairing at the 3rd anti-codon position. The record is from RNAcentral. Lineage: Bacteria; Bacillati; Bacillota; Tissierellia; Tissierellales; Peptoniphilaceae. RNAcentral also lists the same sequence under 3 other names.
GCGGAAGUGGCUCAGUGGUAGAGCAUCGCCUUGCCAAGGCGAGGGUCGCGAGUUCGAAUCUCGUUUUCCGCUCCA